UAGGGAAUCUUCCGCAAUGGGCGAAAGCCUGACGGAGCAACGCCGCGUGAGUGAUGAAGGUCUUCGGAUCGUAAAACUCUGUUAUUAGGGAAGAACAAAUGUGUAAGUAACUAUGCACGUCUUGACGGUACCUAAUCAGAAAGCCACGGCUAACUACGUGCCAGCAGCCGCGGUAAUACGUAGGUGGCAAGCGUUAUCCGGAAUUAUUGGGCGUAAAGCGCGCGUAGGCGGUUUUUUAAGUCUGAUGUGAAAGCCCACGGCUCAACCGUGGAGUGUCAUUGGAAACUGGAAAACUUGAGUGCAGAAGAGGAAAGUUGAAUUCCAUGUGUAGCGGUGAAAUGCGCAGAGAUAUGGAGGAACACCAGUGGCGAAGGCGACUUUCUGGUCUGGAACUGACGCUGAUGUGCGAAAGCGUGGGGAUCAAACAGG
RNAcentral lists this ribosomal RNA (429 nucleotides) under Actinomycetes bacterium. RNAcentral's name for it is "Actinobacteria bacterium partial 16S ribosomal RNA". It matches the Rfam family "Bacterial small subunit ribosomal RNA", at positions 355 to 776 of the family's 1533-position model. The record is from RNAcentral. Lineage: Bacteria; Bacillati; Actinomycetota; Actinomycetes.